This 335-nucleotide long non-coding RNA is filed under the name Elaeis guineensis (African oil palm). RNAcentral's name for it is "long non-coding RNA (EGUI_LNC005381)". Lineage: Eukaryota; Viridiplantae; Streptophyta; Magnoliopsida; Arecales; Arecaceae. The record is from RNAcentral.
UGAAGAAUAGUGACAGCCUCUUCUCCAUCGCACAAAGAAAAGGGGCAUCACUGAGAGAAUACUUGGCACGUUUUAACGCCACUACUCCCAGAGUCCAUGACUUCAACGGAUCCACCACCACAUUGGCAAUGGAGUGAGGACUCAGAGGUGAGUGCCUAGUUUUCUCCCUCAAUAAGGACUUCUCGGAGAACAAUGCCAACCUCCUAACCUGAGUGCAAUAAGACGCUCAAGCUAAGGAAGGUAAAGUCCGACUUCGAAAAGAAGAGGGGAGGAAGAACGAUGACAAAAAGAGGCCUCGUGAUGAUGAUCGCUGAGCUUCAAAAUAAGGAGGAGAG